Long non-coding RNA from Alligator sinensis (Chinese alligator), 385 nucleotides. RefSeq lists it as uncharacterized. The transcript is spliced from 3 exons. The record is from RefSeq and is a predicted model, not a curated record. Lineage: Eukaryota; Metazoa; Chordata; Crocodylia; Alligatoridae.
UGAUUCAUUGAUUCGAAUCACUGUCCCAGUUUGAUUCAGCUGAAUCAGAUCCAAAGAUUCGGCGCCUGGUCAGAGAUUCGAGCAUAGACUAAACAAGCAGCAGUCCUUAACACUGGACACAGCUGUCUCCAGCUGCUGUACAGAGACUGCUCCCUGCUCCCAGAUGACCAUGAGUGACAGGAAGAACCAUCAGUCACCAUACACUUAGUGCCACUUAGCCCCUCCAUUCCAUGGACUAGCACAGAUAAUGAAGCAGAGGAGGUAGAGGGUCAGGAAGAAACCCAUGCAGCCAAUACAUCACCUACUGUUACCAAGACCCAAGAACAUACUGGACCUGAUAGUACAGGCAGUGGCAGCUGUGGACCUGUUUCCAAAACAAGUACUU